GCGCCCGUGCCGCUCCUGCGCCUGCGCAGGGGGCUUAGGCGGCGAUCCCGGGCACCGGGCGCGGCGUGCGCGUUAGUGUCCACGGCGUACGAGGACCACCCACUUCCGGGAAAGCUGCCGAGCCUGACGCCCCGAGGUCGCGCGUGACCGCCGCGCACGUACACACGACGGUGGCUGACAGCCUGGCUGUGCCCGACGGAGAUGGGAGGUUGCCGCCGGCAAAGGCUUCCCUUUAUUCUCGUGUGAUGCAGGCAGCCCGUGACUCGUUUCAAGUUCAGCCACAGCCCCUUGUGCACCGAGCGCCGCGAGCUAGAUCCCAUGUCAGAGCCAUGCUGCAAUAUGGUAUCGUGCGUGGGAGAAACCCAAAUGGAGCAAUGGCUGGAGCAAGGAAUUUGAGGGCAACAGUGACAGUUAUGUCUGAGCGAUGAAACGCAGUGACAAGCCCUCCCAGUGCAUUUCAAAGGCACAGUGACAGUGCAGUGGCCUCCAUACCUCGAAGAGCACGUAGCCGAAGCCUCUGCCGACACCGGUCAGCGGGUCUCUCACGAUCCUCACGGCCACGAUGUUCCCACAGUCCAGAAAGUGGUCCUCCACCACAGUGUCUUCAAUUUCUGAAAACAAAUUCAGCCGAAGUGGAGCGAAGCCUGGGGAUCGCUUUAGGGGGCUGGAGAGGUGUCAUACCAGCCCCGUGAAAAUUAGUGAAGUUACAUUCCUGCCUUUUUAAAGUUACUCUUAACGCACAGACAGGUACUGCUCAGUGGUUAUUUCCGUUCAUUUAACAAUAAACAGGUACUUUGCUUAUACAAA
Long non-coding RNA from Myotis myotis, 807 nucleotides. RefSeq lists it as uncharacterized. Lineage: Eukaryota; Metazoa; Chordata; Mammalia; Chiroptera; Vespertilionidae. The record is from RefSeq and is a predicted model, not a curated record. The transcript has 2 exons.